Long non-coding RNA from Ruditapes philippinarum (Manila clam), 2360 nucleotides. RefSeq lists it as uncharacterized. Lineage: Eukaryota; Metazoa; Mollusca; Bivalvia; Venerida; Veneridae. The record is from RefSeq and is a predicted model, not a curated record. The transcript has 3 exons.
CAGUCAGUCUGUAAAUCGACCUCAAACAAAUUGCAACAGAAAAUAUUUUACCUGGUAUAGAAAGAAUAUGGAAUAACAUGAAUCAUAUCAAAAGUCUAGCAAAAUCUAAGUUGCGCAACAUAGAAAAAAACGGGUUUUUAUCGCGUUAUUUUUUGUGAUUUUUUUCUGACGACAACGGUCUUCCAUAGGCGAACAAAGCGUCUCCGAUACUCAGAAUAGCGACUGCAUAAUGGGGACAACAACAACAAAAUAAGUGUAAACAAAAUAAAUGUCAGUAAAGUACACUGUAAAGUGGGUUGGUAUAUAUUCCUUAAAAUAUUACAGAUCAUAAUAGGAAUUAUUAAUGUGGGGUCGUAUGUUUAUUAUGAGUACUGUAUUUGUUGAAAAUUAUUACUUGUUUUACUAGUUCUUUAUCCGUUGAAGGUCAACAGGUGUUUCAAGCGAUCUGUAUUAUACUUUUCAUGGAAAACAGUUUAAUUUAUAUAAAUAACAACUCUGAUUAACUCCUGUCUUAGUAAACAUUCAAAAACGGCCUAAAAAUGUGUAUUUAUAACAAGUUAAUUUCGACAGUAUUUUUAAACUAUGGAACGCCAUUAUCACUUUAAUUAUGACGAAUCACGUUAAAUAAAUUCUGAAUACUUUAAUCAUGUUUUAUUGUUAAAUGUGUAUUCUAGGUUGUUUUUUUUAUAUUUUUUAAUAGUUUUUUAAAAUUGUUUUACAUAUAUAAUGUAUGUAAUGUUAUUAUUAUUUCAGGGGUACCGCUUUGAUGUAGUCUUCAUUGAUGUUUGCUUGAUUUUGAAAAUAAAAAAAAAUCCAGUAAACUAUAUGUACACUAAAUGAAUUUCAUCAACACACCAGAGCCAAUGGGUAUGCCCGAUCAUGUGUUCUGAGGACACUGUGAUGUAUACGACUUAAAGAUGAACUCCUGUCGGAUUUGUUAACGGCUGUUUGAUGAUCAUACAAAGACAGUUAAAGGCAACGAAAAGGAAUGCAAGGGAAUAAAUGCUGCCAGUGAGAAAUAAAAUGACAGUUUAAAAGUUGAAUCGGAAUAAUAUAUUCACAUUGAGUGUAGAAAGAUGUACUGUAACCCACAUUACACUAAAAGAGACACUAAGACAGAAAAAGUAAACACUGAUGCCACCAUUAACACCAUUGAGAUCAAUGACUGAUAAGUUUUCAUACAAAAAAGAUUGUUUAUAUUGUGGUCAAUCUGUAAUAAGUCAGGGUAAAACAAGGAAGUGUGAUGUUUCGCCAGUAAGGACAAUAUAUUUAACCUACUAUUUUGAAUAUAAGCAUACAGAGGAAUGACUGUUUGUCUGAUACAGUGAGAGCAAGGAUAGAACAGGUUCACGACUUGCUUGUAACCGAUGCUCUUUACCAUGAAACAUGUUUAUGCUCCUCUAAUUUCAGAACUGGAAAAGAUAUACCAGAAGAAUUUCAGGUGCUACCAUCUAGUGAUAAAAAGUGAAAGAUUGGUCGACCAGAAAUUACAGAAGCGGGUGACGCUUUGUAAAAGUCAUGACAUUCUUGUGCUUAUGCUUAGCGAAGAUAUUUUACAAAUUAAAAUUUGCAAAUAUUUUUUUUUUACAUUUUAUGCUCAAAUGUAUCAAAUAUUUGAAAUUGACCUUCCAAAAGGUCAAUGUCACCUCUUUUGACGCAAUGUCAUGAUGUUAUAUAAUGACUCAGAAAAAAAUACAACAGAUGUGCUUGAAAGUAUUCAAGUUAUUAUAAAACUCAAUAUUAUUAUCAUAGAUAAUAUAAAUUUCCUAAAUGUUUCUUUAUUUUGUAUAAAAUUACCCCACCCACUAGCUGUACAAUGUUAAUAUAAAUAUUUCAAUAUAUGCAUUAAAUAUUGAUGGAAUGUAAAUUAAAUUCAUAAAACGUUGAAACUUGACAGUUUUCACAUGUACGUAAACCAUUAUGUAUUUUCUGUUUAAUAUCAUAUAACAUAGAGCUUUCAAUAAAUUGUUGAUCUACAGCAAUGUAAAAAUAUAAUAUUACCCCACCCACUUAAGUUAAUUAAUAAAUUUUAGAAAGGUAAAAGUAGUUUCUUUAAACGAAAACAACUUUUUGAUUACUUUAUGUUACUAUAGGGAUAGAUUAAGCUAUAUUUUUAUGCAUAUUAUAUAUAAAACUGAUUGGAAAAUUGUAUGUGUGUACUACAUUGAGUUCAAAUUAAAAAAAUAAAUACAAUGAUACCCAUAUAUUUUAUCUCAAUUUUUGAAAACAUUCCCCAAUUUAGAUUUUUCUAGACUUUUGAUAUGUUAUACAAUAUAGGUCUGGGGUUUCAAAACACUCAAAAUAUUUUCUGUUGCAAUUUGUUUGAGGUUUGGCUCUAUUUUGAGCUAGAAUGACUGGAC